This 464-nucleotide ribosomal RNA is filed under the name uncultured bacterium. RNAcentral's name for it is "partial 16S ribosomal RNA". It matches the Rfam family "Bacterial small subunit ribosomal RNA", at positions 28 to 506 of the family's 1533-position model. The record is from RNAcentral.
GACGAACGCUGGCGGCGUGCUUAACACAUGCAAGUCGAACGGAAAGGCCCUGCUUGCAGGGUACUCGAGUGGCGAACGGGUGAGUAACACGUGGGUGAUCUGCCCUGCACUUCGGGAUAAGCCUGGGAAACUGGGUCUAAUACCGGAUAGGAGCCAUUUUUAGUGUGAUGGUUGGAAAGUUUUUUCGGUGUAGGAUGAGCUCGCGGCCUAUCAGCUUGUUGGUGGGGUAAUGGCCUACCAAGGCGGCGACGGGUAGCCGGCCUGAGAGGGUGGACGGCCACAUUGGGACUGAGAUACGGCCCAGACUCCUACGGGAGGCAGCAGUGGGGAAUAUUGCACAAUGGGCGCAAGCCUGAUGCAGCGACGCCGCGUGGGGGAUGACGGCCUUCGGGUUGUAAACUCCUUUCGCUAGGGACGAAGCUUUUUGUGAGGGUACCUAGAUAAGAAGCACCGGCUAACUACGU